RNAcentral lists this long non-coding RNA (2294 nucleotides) under Oryza sativa (Asian cultivated rice). Its description in RNAcentral is "long non-coding RNA (OSAT_LNC001993)". The record is from RNAcentral. Lineage: Eukaryota; Viridiplantae; Streptophyta; Magnoliopsida; Poales; Poaceae.
CUGCGACUUAGCUCCGCCCGCCGCCUGCGCCGAUCUCCAUUCCGUGAGCAGAGCAGAGUCAACUUCCGCCGAAUCUGCUCACCAUUCAAUCCAAUCCUCUUUCUCAUCUCUCUCUCCGCAUCCUCGGUGGUGAGCAUCCAUUCAAUCCAAUCCUCUUUCUCAUCUCUCUCUCCGCAUCCUCGGUGGUGAGCAUCCAUUCAAUCCAAUCCUCUUUCUCAUCUCUCUCUCUCUCCGCAUCCUCGGUGGUGAGCAUCCAUUCAAUCCAAUCCUCUUCCUCAUCUCUCUCUACCCUCACACUUUCUUCUCCAAUUUUUUGCUUGCGUUAACCCUAAUAACUUCUCUUCUAGAUCUGUGGAUCUGCAACCUUUUUUCCUCUUAAUUUACCGCCUUAACCUUGAUACGUACUAAUAACGAUUUGUUUGUUUGUACCCCAAUAAUCCAUGUCCAACUAUCUGUCCCUGAUUGGUUAUGAAGUAGCAGAAUGUACAUGUGUUUUGCCAUACAGUACAAUCAAGCUUGCAAACUAGAGCUUAAGAAUGCCUCAAUGAUUUAAUUAAAGAAAUGCUUUCACACAUCAUCAAGUUAUAAAAAAAAAAGAUUACUACUACUGCUUUUUAGAAGUAUUAACUAUUCCUUUUUCUGCUACCGUUGCAGCUUCUAUAUGAAAUGACUGACGGUGAGGACAUCCAGCGUCUUGCGUCUUGUAUGUGAUAAUGGCACUGGAGUGGUCAAGGUCAGAUUUUCUUUUUUUACUCUUAAGCCUUAACUAGUGGAGUAACUGCUAUGUAUGCCCCAUCUCCUGCAAAAAAAAUUUUCUGAAUAUGCCGCCCUUUUGCAUAUUUGAUCAUGUAGGCUAGUUUCAUUGGGGAUGAUUUGUUGUUGGGUAUUUUUAUCAGAGCUAUGUAGAUUGAGUAUGACAAUUGGGUAUUUUUAUCAGAGCUAUGUAGAUUACUUAUUUGUGUCUUUUUCUCCAAUCUGCUUCACCAAGAAUGGAGUUAGGGAGGUAGAGCCAGAGGCAAGGAGUAGGAGGGAAAGGGGAUGGUGCCUCUUCUUGGCUGCUUCAGUUCUUUUUUCCUCUCGGCCACAAGCAAAUCAGCCAAGACUCUGUUUUAGAUGGUAUGAAUUUACAGUCCCAGCAUGUGCAAGUUGGUUUUGAUUAUUUGAUAUCUUUGUUAGGAACUAUAUCGCUUAGUUAAUUAUAGUAAAGCACCUUGGAUGAUGGAAGGUCACCUUUAUUUUAUCACAGGACAUUUUAUUUUCCAAGCAACCAGGCAAUAGAUUUCUGGAGUUAAAAACUAACAUUUUGUUAUCGAACAACAAAAUGCUGGCUCUUGGUUCUUUCUAUAAUUUUGUGAUAUCAUGUAGCUGGUUUUCCAUUCUCUAUUCUUCAGACGUGUUGACAUACAAUAUACUUUCUCUUUUUUUAAAUAUAAUGGGGAGAAUUUCAUUAAUAAAUGAAAUUGCACUUGACCUCUGAUAUAUUUUGUCAAUGGAAUUCAGAAUUUGCAGUAGUUGGUUCAUAAGGAGAGCUUAUUAACUCUGUAUCUAAGUUGGAUUGCUCAAUGAUUAGGCGCCGAAGGCCACGGUGAGGCAGGGUUCGACAGAGGGAUAGCCGUGACACUGUAGAUGAGGGCACCAGAGGCUGCCAUUACGCCGUCGAGGAGGUGGGGGAUGCUUCCAUGGUUUUUCUCGCACCGGUGGGCGAGGCAGCCGUGAUAUCUCUCCUGGAUCUCAGUAAGCAAGCAAGCACGUUCCCAGGGCUAUCGAGGAGGCAGUCACAAUGACCCUGAUGGUCUUCAGCGAGGCAUAUAUGAAUUCCUUUGUCGCAGGUGGCGAUGCAGUCCCGACGCUAAUCAUGUUGAUGGGCGAGGUGGUCAAGGCCUCUCUCCUUUACGAGGUGGGCUAAUCGUGUCAGUUUUUUUUCUACAUCUUUGUGGUAGAAACUAAGAAAUCAUAUUAUUUAGGUCAAAGAAAUAUAAUCUUGUAAUCUGAACAUCUAAAGAUAUGUAAUCUGCAUAUGAAGAUUACAACACUGAAGCAAAUUACUACUGACGAGUCAUAUGUUUUGUCAGUUGCUAACAUUUGUAUUUUAUCAGCAAUAAGACUGCAUCACCUCAUAAUUUUAGUGAAUAUUACUUAUUUUUGUUAGUUUUGUCUGAAAAAGUUAUGUCAUGUCAGCUUUGUGAAUACUACUUAUUUUUGUCAUGUUACUUUUGUCUGAAAAAGUAUUGUUUCUUUUUGUAUUUUUGAUUUUGUGUUUGUUUUUAUCCAAAAAAUUUACUUUGUCAGAAAUG